This 1111-nucleotide long non-coding RNA is filed under the name Cyanistes caeruleus (blue tit). RNAcentral describes it as "lncRNA (ENSCCEG00000016372.1)". The record is from RNAcentral. Lineage: Eukaryota; Metazoa; Chordata; Aves; Passeriformes; Paridae.
GAUGAAAAAGUGACAUGGAGAGCUUCUGAACUCAUGCAGACUAUAGUUGUCUAAAUUCACCAUGUGAAGUUUUGUAUGAUAAUACAAAUUCUCACUCAGCUGCAAAUUCCUGAUAGAUCUUGUUUCCUUUCUGUGCUGGUUCCUGUACUAGGUGUUCUGAUUCUCUCUUCAAAGCCCCCUGGGAUGAUUUAGUCUUUCUGGUACCAAAACACAGGUCAGAUCUCCACAUUUGACAGUUUCCCUGUGCCAAACUGACAUCAACAUGAGUAAUGAAGCAUGUCACGGUGUUGAUGAAUUGUUGACAGAACAGAAAACUGGAGACAGUUCUACCGUGCACAUCGCACUGCACAAAUGGAGGACAUAUCUGAAAAGCCAUGGAUGUGAUGGAGAGAAACAUAUUGCAAAUGUCCUGCAGAAAGAUGAGGCAAAAACCCUGAAGUUUUGUAGCUUAAGAAGGUUAAAGAUCAAGAAUUUUUCUAUGUCCAGAAUAGAAUAUUUUGCUCUCAACCCUUUAUUUUUCAUUAUAACUACAGUGUGACCAGCCUGGUUUUUACAUUGUCAUUUGUUCAUGUGUUUCAAGCAUGAUACCUCUGUUUAAUUAGGGAUGUGUCAUUAGGAAGUGCCUAAGGGUGGUAUGGUGGAGAUUGCUUUUGAGACAAAACCCCUCUUCCCAUUUGUAUUGUAUUGCAUGCAGGAACCCUGGAGUGUAUGUGUUUGCAGUAGAAUAAUAAGAUGAAGGAAGUCUGUCCUCUUCCAUUUCCUUGCCACCCCGGUAUGGCAAAAGUAAUAGACUCUACACAGCUAGGAAGGCUUGUGUGAUGGGGUCCUUUCUGAGGAUGGUGCUGGCAUAGCCACCUCCUCUUCCUUUCUCUGCAGGUUCUAGCACAGGCAGAGAGAAAAGAAUCACACAGACAUGACACUUAAUGGCAUAUAAUUCAGGGGGAAUAUUAGUAAAGGUCAGUUAUAGCCAUUUUUCUGCUACACUUUUUCAAACUUCAGAAAACUUCAGGCUAUCAGUUAACUUGGUUGUAGGUUCAUGUAAGAACUACUUAGAUCUGCUGGGUUUCCUUUACCUUUAAGUCUAAUAAAAAGAGUGAUCCAGUGUCUUGCA